Molecule: long non-coding RNA, 120 nt
Organism: Xenia sp. Carnegie-2017
Lineage: Eukaryota; Metazoa; Cnidaria; Anthozoa; Malacalcyonacea; Xeniidae
Exons: 3
Source: RefSeq, a predicted model, not a curated record
GGUGUCAAUUUCGUUGAGUAUUUGGAUGUAGACCGAGAAAAACAGAAAUGGACUCAUGAGGAUGUAAGAAUGCUCUUUAACAAGAAGUAUAGUGAAGCAAAAGGUGUGACUGGUUCUCGC